AUCUGGGCGGCGGAAUUCACAAUGGCCGGCGUGCUCUCGCGGUGCGUCGGUCGUUUGAUAUUUCCGUCGCCGAUUUCGCAGACGUCGCGACCUGUUCGCGGUCGGUCCCUGCUCGGAGGAGCCGCGUUCGAGCUCGUUGUGUGCGCGUUUCGGCGUGUCACACGGCGAAGGCGCGGAUCUCUGGCUGGCCGUCGGACAGUAUGCUUAACGGUGUCCGGUGUCGUCGUCUCGUACGCGCGGCGCCGGUACCGGUCAGCGACGAAUUCUUCGGGCCUCUUUCCGACCCGUCUUGAAACACGGACCAAGGAGUCUAACAUGCGCGCGAGUCGCGGGGUAUCGAGCGUACUUCGGUGCGUUCGUUAUGUUGCGAAACCCGUACAUGUCGAAGGCGUAAUGAAAGUGAAUGGGGAAGAUGGUGUUCCGAGUUCACGUUCCGCGAUCGCUGGUAUCGCGGCCGGACACCCGCACUCCCGGGGCGUCUCAACGGCCCGUCGCUGAUGCGGACAGUCGUCUCUCGGGGCGGCUGUCGGUCGGCGACGAACCGA
RNAcentral lists this ribosomal RNA (545 nucleotides) under Targionia fabianae. RNAcentral's name for it is "eukaryotic LSU rRNA". Lineage: Eukaryota; Metazoa; Arthropoda; Insecta; Hemiptera; Diaspididae. The record is from RNAcentral.